Molecule: long non-coding RNA, 190 nt
Organism: Telopea speciosissima
Lineage: Eukaryota; Viridiplantae; Streptophyta; Magnoliopsida; Proteales; Proteaceae
Exons: 2
Source: RefSeq, a predicted model, not a curated record
UGGGGUCAAUCAUAAAUAAAGACGGUGACAUAGAGGAUGAUGUUUCACAAAGAAUUAAAGUGGGAUGGCUGAAGUAGAGAGGUGCUUCGGGAGUGUUAUGUGACAAACGCAUGCCUAUUAAACUUAAGGGAAAAUUCUACAUGACAGUAAUAAGACCGGCCAUGACUUAUGGGGUGGAAUGUUGGGCAGU